This 460-nucleotide ribosomal RNA is filed under the name uncultured bacterium. RNAcentral's name for it is "partial 16S ribosomal RNA". It matches the Rfam family "Bacterial small subunit ribosomal RNA", at positions 338 to 795 of the family's 1533-position model. The record is from RNAcentral.
CCUACGGGAGGCAGCAGUGAGGAAUAUUGGUCAAUGGACGAGAGUCUGAACCAGCCAAGUAGCGUGAAGGAUGACUGCCCUAUGGGUUGUAAACUUCUUUUAUAUGGGAAUAAAAUGUUCCACGUGUGGGAUUUUGUAUGUACCAUAUGAAUAAGGAUCGGCUAACUCCGUGCCAGCCGCCGCGGUAAUACGGAGGAUCCGAGCGUUAUCCGGAUUUAUUGGGUUUAAAGGGAGCGUAGGUGGAUUGUUAAGUCAGUUGUGAAAGUUUGCGGCUCAACCGUAAAAUUGCAGUUGAAACUGGCAGUCUUGAGUACAGUAGAGGUGGGCGGAAUGCGUGGUGUAGCGGUGAAAUGCUUAGAUAUCACGAAGAACUCCGAUUGCGAAGGCAGCUCACUGGACUGCAACUGACACUGAGGCUCGAAAGUGUGGGUAUCAAACAGGAUUAGAUACCCCGGUAGUC